This 364-nucleotide small RNA is filed under the name Oryza sativa Japonica Group (Japanese rice). RNAcentral's name for it is "sRNA Os03g0178600". Lineage: Eukaryota; Viridiplantae; Streptophyta; Magnoliopsida; Poales; Poaceae. The record is from RNAcentral.
GUAUUGGAUUGUGGAGUGAUUUCAUCGUUAAUGGAACCUUUUAUGGUUCAUUGAAACAGGAAACUUGAAUUCUAAAUCUCCAUACGAUCAAUUUCAUGGAUUAGAAUGGUUUAUUUAGGAUCAAAUUUACAUGGAGUAUAAGACUUGUAUGGCGAUGCCCGCCGAAUAAUGUGCGCUGUUCUGCCAACGACAAGGCUCUAGGAUUCGUGCGGAUAAAGCCCAUUAUGAUUCGCGCGUGACAGAUGGGCCAAUAUCGUGGCCUGUUGUCCAUGGCCCAUGGGCCUUGGCUGCGCGGCUCUCAGCCGAAUUUCCACCAGCAAGGACAGCAUAUGCCAUAGCUCUAAUCUGAACCUUUUUAUAUCUC